CAAGGGUCACACAGCUCCAUCAAUCCACAAAGGUUGCUAACAGCAAAUAAAAGAGACGAAGGAAAAGGCAGGCCCUGCUUUGAAGCACUAGGAAGAAAGAGUCUUUGAACGGCUGCAAACACCACAAACCCUUUCACCCAAAUCAGAGAGAGCAGCCAGGGGAGUCGGCAGAAGAAGCCAUAAGUGGGGAGAUGUUACUCCAUUUGGGUUCCAUUCCCACUGAAGCUUUGCACAGGGAAUUCAGGGCAGGGCAGACGUGACAAAAGCUCAACGAGUUGGCCUCGCCACAGCCAACUUUCAAAGAGUGUCGGAGACUUCCAACAGAGACCCCUGAAGACCAGAGCUCUGUAAGAACCCUACAGGUCUUCAGUGCCAGAUUGGGACUGCAUGUAUUGAAUAACUAGUACAUUCUCGAACUCUCCAGUAUGAGACAGCCAUUACUGGACGACCCAGACAGAAACUUGCAAGCAAUUACCAGUGAAGUCUUGCAAAAUAAUUCCCAUUAUUCAACCAAAUCAGGAAUACAGAGUUCAUUUUAUUUAAAGCUGGAAUUUGCCACCCUUGCAGUGAAGAAAAGUGAACGUGGGAGAAAUGGAGGCUUUUGAAAAUAAAUAAUCUAAGAGGCCCAGCAGGGUCACAAGCUCCAAGACUCCUAGAAGAGGACCUGGACUUCCUAUUAGCUGCCACCAUUACUGAAAAUGCCUCAGCUCCUUUAUGAAUCCAUUCCACGUGGCUCCUGCCCCAGGAGCCGAAGGCAGGCUUCCUCAGAAAAGCUGAGAACGUCUGGCACACCAGGAAUGAAAGGAGUGGUACCCUGGCUACACUAUGAAGCUGGCAUGAUUUAAGUGCUACCUGGACCCGUUGAUACCCCUGUAUUCAAAGCCCAACUCCUUUAAGGUGCAGAAAUCCUACCGCCCGUGCGCCCUGGGCGCGCCGCCGGGCCCCGUGCCGGUUCCCCGGGAAUGCGACCGUCAGGUGAGUUUCUCCUUCAGAUGCAAGAAGAGAGAUCGCAGGAAUCCAUGCCCAGUUUCAGUCUAACUCGGUCCACAGGCAGAG
Microtus ochrogaster (prairie vole) is the source of this 1056-nucleotide long non-coding RNA. RefSeq lists it as uncharacterized. NCBI's taxonomy places the organism in Eukaryota, Metazoa, Chordata, Mammalia, Rodentia, Cricetidae. The record is from RefSeq and is a predicted model, not a curated record. The transcript has 5 exons.